GUCGGCAGCUAGCUCUCUGCAAAUCUCACAAGGUUUCCCACUGAAGCUAAGCAGGGCUGUGCCUUGUGAGAACCUGUAUGGGAGACCACAUGGGAAAGCUAGGUUGUUGCCGGAA
Molecule: ribosomal RNA, 115 nt
Organism: Danio rerio (zebrafish)
Lineage: Eukaryota; Metazoa; Chordata; Actinopteri; Cypriniformes; Danionidae
Source: Ensembl